Molecule: long non-coding RNA, 763 nt
Organism: Papaver somniferum (opium poppy)
Lineage: Eukaryota; Viridiplantae; Streptophyta; Magnoliopsida; Ranunculales; Papaveraceae
Exons: 2
Source: RefSeq, a predicted model, not a curated record
UGUAAUCCUCUCAAUUGCCUCCUAGAUUUGAAACCAUGACUUCAAAACCUACAAAUUCUGGAUUCUAAGUUUCUAAAAUUCAAGUUGAAGUUGGUUAUGAAUUACCCACAAUUGACGAAGCUUUGUUAGUACCUUCGGGAUCUAAAUCUGUUAAUGCCAACUCCAUCAGAGGGGAUUCACUAAUGGGGAUUUGUAUGACAAGCCUGCGCAAUGUUCAAAAAAAUAAUGCCCAGUGACUGAUAGAAACCCACCUUUCACAAACACGGAUUAUUGGGGUUUAACUAGAAGCUAAGAAUCAGCAUGCUUGGAUUUGGUUGAUGGAAUUCCUAAAGCUCUAAAGGAGUUAAAAGGUAAGAAGAUUGGUGAUCAAUUGGUUUUCUUGAGUUUGAAAUAUUAUGUAUAUGAUCUCUGCAGCGAUGGUAACAUCAGAGAUUAGGGACAUUGAUGAAUUGUUCAUGGUACCUAGAUUCAUCAAUUGAUCUCUUUCGAUUUCGAAAUUUUCCUGCAACUCAUACAUGAUCUACUGUAUGUCAGGUUAUAAUUUCUGAGUUUUCCUUGGUGUUUGCAGAAGUCAAACAAAUAUCUCUGAGGUGCACAUAACUAACAUUAGGGUAACUUAUUAAAUGCUUCACUGCUUAAAAUGCCUUCAUUUACGAGUUAUAAACACAGUUUAUAUACACUGAUAACUAAAGAUUAUGGAUUUACUUUUUUCUUCGUGCGAUGAAACAUUACUGCCAUACUUAAUCUAUACUUCACUUAUCUC